UCUUCUGCUUUUACUGCUCCUCAAGAACUUGACAUCAGAGAAAAGAAUACAUUAAUCUGCUCCUCUCACAAGGUGAGGAUAGAGAUAAUAAACCUUUAUUUGUGGUAACAAGCAGGAGAGGCUGGCGGAAGCAGGGCAGACAUCGGACUCUAUUGACUGACCCAGGCACCGGCUAGAGUUCAGAUGAGAUGUGCAGGCAGUAAUUCUUCUUCAUGCUGCUGAACUGUAUCUAAAGCAGGCAUGCUGGGAAGAGCAGGGUCCAGUGGUCAGCCCCGGUGAUCUGGCCCUGCACAGACUGCUCGCUGGGAGGAGGAUCGCAGCAGGUGGAGUUCUAAGCCCUUUAGCUUAACUGGGUCUUCAUUCUUCUGCUGUGUUCAUGAUGAAGCACUCGUGCCUGGAUUAUGGGAACUUCAACAGCUAUCCACACUGCUCCUCGCCAGGCUCCAGCAGCUGAAACAAUGUUUCCAUCAUCGGCUCAAACAAUCAACGCAUGUGUGCACUUAGCUUUUCUCCAGCUUUGCUUAGCAGAACUCAACUUUCACUCAUGUCGUGAUGGUAAUACUUCUCCAGCCUCCAUGGCUGCUCAUGUGGCUUCUAUCACAGACAGACAGUUUUUAUUCUUCUCCAUAACACGAGAUAAGCAUAGUGUAAAACACCCAACUGGGGAGUGGAGAAGUGGCUCAGAAGUUAAGCGUAUUGUGCAUUGUUCUUGCAAAGGACCGGAGUUUGAUUCC
Mus caroli (Ryukyu mouse) is the source of this 734-nucleotide long non-coding RNA. RefSeq lists it as uncharacterized. NCBI's taxonomy places the organism in Eukaryota, Metazoa, Chordata, Mammalia, Rodentia, Muridae. The record is from RefSeq and is a predicted model, not a curated record.